GAUGAACGCUAGCUACAGGCUUAACACAUGCAAGUCGAGGGGCAGCAUUUCAGUUUGCUUGCAAACUGGAGAUGGCGACCGGCGCACGGGUGAGUAACACGUAUCCAACCUGCCGAUAACUCGGGGAUAGCCUUUCGAAAGAAAGAUUAAUACCCGAUGGUAUAAUCAGACCGCAUGGUCUUGUUAUUAAAGAAUUUCGGUUAUCGAUGGGGAUGCGUUCCAUUAGGCAGUUGGUGAGGUAACGGCUCACCAAACCUUCGAUGGAUAGGGGUUCUGAGAGGAAGGUCCCCCACAUUGGAACUGAGACACGGUCCAAACUCCUACGGGAGGCAGCAGUGAGGAAUAUUGGUCAAUGGGCGCAGGCCUGAACCAGCCAAGUAGCGUGAAGGAUGACUGCCCUAUGGGUUGUAAACUUCUUUUAUAUGGGAAUAAAGUUUUCCACGUGUGGAAUUUUGUAUGUACCAUAUGAAUAAGGAUCGGCUAACUCCGUGCCAGCAGCCGCGGUAAUACGGAGGAUCCGAGCGUUAUCCGGAUUUAUUGGGUUUAAAGGGAGCGUAGGUGGACAGUUAAGUCAGUUGUGAAAGUUUGCGGCUCAACCGUAAAAUUGCAGUUGAUACUGGCUGUCUUGAGUACAGUAGAGGUGGGCGGAAUUCGUGGUGUAGCGGUGAAAUGCUUAGAAAUCACGAAGAACUCCGAUUGCGAAGGCAGCUCACUGGACUGCAACUGACACUGAUGCUCGAAAGUGUGGGUAUCAAACAGGAUUAGAUACCCUGGUAGUCCACACAGUAAACGAUGAAUACUCGCUGUUUGCGAUAUACAGUAAGCGGCCAAGCGAAAGCAUUAAGUAUUCCACCUGGGGAGUACGCCGGCAACGGUGAAACUCAAAGGAAUUGACGGGGGCCCGCACAAGCGGAGGAACAUGUGGUUUAAUUCGAUGAUACGCGAGGAACCUUACCCGGGCUUAAAUUGCAUUUGAAUAUAUUGGAAACAGUAUAGCCGUAAGGCAAAUGUGAAGGUGCUGCAUGGUUGUCGUCAGCUCGUGCCGUGAGGUGUCGGCUUAAGUGCCAUAACGAGCGCAACCCUUAUCUUUAGUUACUAACAGGUCAUGCUGAGGACUCUAGAGAGACUGCCGUCGUAAGAUGUGAGGAAGGUGGGGAUGACGUCAAAUCAGCACGGCCCUUACGUCCGGGGCUACACACGUGUUACAAUGGGGGGUACAGAAGGCAGCUACCUGGUGACAGGAUGCUAAUCCCAAAAGCCUCUCUCAGUUCGGAUCGAAGUCUGCAACCCGACUUCGUGAAGCUGGAUUCGCUAGUAAUCGUGCAUCAGCCAUGGCGCGGUGAAUACGUUCCCGGGCCU
This 1359-nucleotide ribosomal RNA is filed under the name uncultured bacterium. Its description in RNAcentral is "bacterial SSU rRNA". It matches the Rfam family "Bacterial small subunit ribosomal RNA", at positions 28 to 1381 of the family's 1533-position model. The record is from RNAcentral.